CGGGGGGGGCAAGCGUUGUUCGGAAUUACUGGGCGUAAAGGGCUCGUAGGUGGCCAACUAAGUCAGACGUGAAAUCCCCAGGCUCAACUUGGGAACUGCGUCUGAUACUGGAUGGCUUGAAUUCGGGAGAGGGAUGCAGAAUUCCAGGUGUAGCGGUGAAAUGCGUAGAUAUCUAGAGGAAUACCGGUGGCGAAGGCGGCAUCCUGGACCGAGAUUGACACUGAUGAGCGAAAGCCAGGGGAGCAAACGGGAUUAGAUACCCCGGUAGUCCUGGCCCUAAACGAUGAAUGCUUGGUGUGACGGGUAUCGAUCCCUGUCGUGCCGAAGCUAACGCAUUAAGCAUUCCGCCUGGGGAGUACGGUCGCAAGGCUG
Molecule: ribosomal RNA, 372 nt
Filed under: uncultured organism
Description: bacterial SSU rRNA
Rfam family: Bacterial small subunit ribosomal RNA
Source: RNAcentral